GACGAACGCUGGCGGCGUGCUUAACACAUGCAAGUCGAACGGAGAGGCCCUGCUUUUGGGGGGUGCUCGAGUGGCGAACGGGUGAGUAACACGUGAGUAACCUGCCCUUGACUUUGGGAUAACUUCAGGAAACUGGGGCUAAUACCGGAUAGGAGCUCCUGCUGCAUGGUGGGGGUUGGAAAGUUUCGGCGGUUGGGGAUGGACUCGCGGCUUAUCAGCUUGUUGGUGGGGUAGUGGCUUACCAAGGCUUUGACGGGUAGCCGGCCUGAGAGGGUGACCGGCCACAUUGGGACUGAGAUACGGCCCAGACUCCUACGGGAGGCAGCAGUGGGGAAUAUUGCACAAUGGGCGGAAGCCUGAUGCAGCAACGCCGCGUGCGGGAUGACGGCCUUCGGGUUGUAAACCGCUUUCGCCUGUGACGAAGCGUGAGUGACGGUAAUGGGUAAAGAAGCACCGGCUAACUACGUGCCAGCAGCCGCGGUGAUACGUAGGGUGCGAGCGUUGUCCGGAUUUAUUGGGCGUAAAGGGCUCGUAGGUGGUUGAUCGCGUCGGAAGUGUAAUCUUGGGGCUUAACCCUGAGCGUGCUUUCGAUACGGGUUGACUUGAGGAAGGUAGGGGAGAAUGGAAUUCCUGGUGGAGCGGUGGAAUGCGCAGAUAUCAGGAGGAACACCAGUGGCGAAGGCGGUUCUCUGGGCCUUUCCUGACGCUGAGGAGCGAAAGCGUGGGGAGCGAACAGGCUUAGAUACCCUGGUAGUCCACGCUGUAAACGGUGGGUACUAGGUGUGGGGUCCAUUCCACGGGUUCCGUGCCGUAGCUAACGCUUUAAGUACCCCGCCUGGGGAGUACGGCCGCAAGGCUAAAACUCAAAGGAAUUGACGGGGCCCCGCACAAGCGGCGGAGCAUGCGGAUUAAUUCGAUGCAACGCGUAGAACCUUACCUGGGUUUGACAUGGAUCGGGAGCGCUCAGAGAUGGGUGUGCCUCUUUUGGGGUCGGUUCACAGGUGGUGCAUGGCUGUCGUCAGCUCGUGUCGUGAGAUGUUGGGUUAAGUCCCGCAACGAGCGCAACCCUUGUUCACUGUUGCCAGCACGUUAUGGUGGGGACUCAGUGGAGACCGCCGGGGUCAACUCGGAGGAAGGUGGGGAUGACGUCAAGUCAUCAUGCCCCUUAUGUCCAGGGCUUCACGCAUGCUACAAUGGCUGGUACAGAGAGUGGCGAGCCUGUGAGGGUGAGCGAAUCUCGGAAAGCCGGUCUCAGUUCGGAUUGGGGUCUGCAACUCGACCUCAUGAAGUCGGAGUCGCUAGUAAUCGCAGAUCAGCAACGCUGCGGUGAAUACGUUCCCGGG
Molecule: ribosomal RNA, 1343 nt
Filed under: uncultured bacterium
Lineage: Bacteria
Description: 16S ribosomal RNA
Rfam family: Bacterial small subunit ribosomal RNA
Source: RNAcentral